GACGUCCAAUUCCUUAAGUAUGAAAGAGCUUCAGAUUUGGAGCAGUAAAUUAACUCUGAAGCACAUAAGAUCUAGAAAGAAUCAUUUGAUCAAUUUGGAUGAAAAGAAGUUUGGUAUCAACCCCUAACAAAAAUCGAAAGAGAGAAUGACGAAGUUAAGGAAGCUAAACCGAAUUGCGGCUCAUCACAGAUCUAUACUGAGGACGAUGGUGUUGCAGUUCGUGAAGCAUGAGUGCAUUGAAACCGCUGUUGCCAAGGCAAAAGAGGUUCGACAUCAGGCUGAUAGAGUGGUGCAGCGUGGAAAAGAUGGUUCACUCGCUGCAGCGAGGAGUUAUGUAGAAAAUAGGAAGAAACUCUUGGUUUCAUUUAAAUAUGUAUCUACAUUUUUGUUUGUGCUAUUGUUUAAUGUUUGAUUUUCUUCUUCCAUACCAUAAUUUUACAUCAAUGAUAGUCCUCAAGCAUGUUUGAAUGGAAAAUAAUGAGUCCAUGACUUUUUUUUUUC
Long non-coding RNA from Rosa chinensis, 501 nucleotides. RefSeq lists it as uncharacterized. Lineage: Eukaryota; Viridiplantae; Streptophyta; Magnoliopsida; Rosales; Rosaceae. The transcript has 3 exons. The record is from RefSeq and is a predicted model, not a curated record.